Molecule: non-coding RNA, 31 nt
Filed under: Homo sapiens (human)
Lineage: Eukaryota; Metazoa; Chordata; Mammalia; Primates; Hominidae
Source: RNAcentral
UAGCAGAAUGUGAAGGUCAGCCAGAUCUGGA